AAUAGAUACCCCGGUAGUCCACGCCGUAAACGAUGAGUGCUAAGUGUUAGAGGGUUUCCGCCCUUUAGUGCUGCAGCUAACGCAUUAAGCACUCCGCCUGGGGAGUACGGUCGCAAGACUGAAACUCAAAGGAAUUGACGGGGGCCCGCACAAGCGGUGGAGCAUGUGGUUUAAUUCGAAGCAACGCGAAGAACCUUACCAGGUCUUGACAUCCUCUGACAACUCUAGAGAUAGAGCGUUUCCCUUCGGGGGACAGAGUGACAGGUGGUGCAUGGUUGUCGUCAGCUCGUGUCGUGAGAUGUUGGGUUAAGUCCCGCAACGAGCGCAACCCUUGAUCUUAGUUGCCAGCAUUUAGUUGGGCACUCUAAGGUGACUGCCGGUGACAAACCGGAGGAAGGUGGGGAUGACGUCAAAUCAUCAUGCCCCUUAUGACCUGGGCUACACACGUGCUACAAUGGAUGGUACAAAGGGCUGCAAGACCGCGAGGUCAAGCCAAUCCCAUAAAACCAUUCUCAGUUCGGAUUGUAGG
Molecule: ribosomal RNA, 529 nt
Filed under: uncultured bacterium
Lineage: Bacteria
Description: bacterial SSU rRNA
Rfam family: Bacterial small subunit ribosomal RNA
Source: RNAcentral